Acanthosepion pharaonis is the source of this 108-nucleotide non-coding RNA. The record is from the annotation of a GenBank genome assembly. Lineage: Eukaryota; Metazoa; Mollusca; Cephalopoda; Sepiida; Sepiidae.
GGCCACAUCACAUUAAAACCCCAGUUUAUGUACGAUCACCAAAGUUAAGCCGUGUCAAUCCUGGUCAGUACCUAGGUGGGUGACCACCUGGGAAUGCCAGGUGCUAUA